Molecule: unclassified non-coding RNA, 250 nt
Filed under: plant metagenome
Description: partial contains small subunit ribosomal RNA, internal transcribed spacer 1, and 5.8S ribosomal RNA
Source: RNAcentral
GUAUGUGAACCUGCGGAAGGAUCAUUAACACGUUCCAAACCUAAUCAACCAACCUGUGAACUUGUAUCUGCCUGCUGAGCGAGCUGCAUGCAGUCCGUCUCUGUCAGGCCCACUAUAUAAAUUCCUAUGGAGCUAUCUUGCCUGUCAAUCCAUCACUGAUUGAUCGAUAGGUAUAGAUCAGUCUCUCCAUAGCCAUUUAUACUAAAUUUUUUUGAACGCCCUAGUACUCCUUCUUCGGAAUGAGGACUGC